This 627-nucleotide ribosomal RNA is filed under the name Russula cyanoxantha. RNAcentral describes it as "eukaryotic LSU rRNA". The stretch from base 192 to 345 matches the Rfam family "5.8S ribosomal RNA". The record is from RNAcentral. Lineage: Eukaryota; Fungi; Basidiomycota; Agaricomycetes; Russulales; Russulaceae.
GGCAUAUCAAUAAGCGGAGGAUGGAAGUAAAGCCGCCCAGGGGCUCUCUCUCAAUCCAUCUAACCCCCUUUGUGCAUCACCGCGUGGGCGCUCUCCUUUUGGUUCAUUCUGAAAAGGGGGCGUUUGCGUUUUUAUACAGACCACCGCAUGUGUAGAAUGUCUUACUAUUUGCGAUAACACGCAAUCAAUACAACUUUCAACAACGGAUCUCUUGGCUCUCGCAUCGAUGAAGAACGCAGCGAAAUGCGAUACGUAAUGUGAAUUGCAGAAUUCAGUGAAUCAUCGAAUCUUUGAACGCACCUUGCGCCCCUUGGAAUUCCGAGGGGCACACCCGUUUGAGUGUCGUGAACAUCCUUCAACCUUUCUUGGUUUCUUGACCGGGGAAGGCUUGGACUUUGGGGGUUUUUCAUUGCUGGCCUCCCUUGAAGCCAGCUCCUCCUAAAUGGAUUAGUGGGGUCUGCUUUGCCGAUCCUUGACGUGAUAAGAUGUUUCUACGUCUUGGGUUUCGCACUGUCGCUUCAGACCCCGCUUCAAACAGUCUUGCAUCUAAGACAGAGUUUUAUAAACCUUGACCUCAAAUCGGGUGAGACUACCCGCUGAACUUAAGCAUAUCAAUAAGCGGAGGAA